GCGCAGCGAGUGGGGAAAUCCUAUGCCGCCUGUGAACCUUCCCAUUAUGUUCGUUUCUUGUCUAAAAUAUGAGACUUAGGUUUUCAUUGCUUCUGUUCACUUCAGAAGAAUGAACAGAAAGCACUCGCCACCCUUUAACCUAAAUCAAAGUAUAAGCCAACAUUUCUAACAAGAGUACGGAUUCUUUCUUACCUUUGGAGUCCACGGACCCUUAAAAGGUGGAAUUCAUGGUGGAUUCUUUUGAUGGGGAUUUUCCUGCUUUGAAAGGAAAUAAUAGGACGUUUUCAAUGUGGAACAAGGCUGAGGUUCUGACUGCUGGCCUAAAAGAACCAGGAUUCCCCCAGUUGGACUCUCACAUACCUGUGGACCUCAAGUGCUCCUUCAUAUGUGUUUUCAAUGAACUUCAUCCAAACCACAUCAAAUGGCUGUGUAUAACACUAAGGAAAUGUCAUAUUGUCUCCUAGUCCUCUACCAUGGAAAAUCUGCGCAGAGGCUUUCAAGGAAAAUAAAGGGUAAGAGUCUAGUUCAGCUCUCUCUGGUGUGAAGUGGGGUUAUAAAGCCCCAGAUUGUUAAGUAGUGAGUGGCAAUUUGUCAGAAGCAGAAAAGUCCAAAUCAGAAGCCUGUACGCACAAUGAGAGCCUCCAGAAAAAUGCAGAAUUCUUAGGGAGACAAUUGAAAUCAUUAAGAAGCCAUGGAAUGGGCUUGUGUGUCUUGCAAGUGGGGCAGCCUUACAAAAGGGGUCACCCAGAUGUCAUUUUCU
Molecule: long non-coding RNA, 760 nt
Filed under: Homo sapiens (human)
Lineage: Eukaryota; Metazoa; Chordata; Mammalia; Primates; Hominidae
Description: HSALNT0037259
Source: RNAcentral